Molecule: transfer RNA, 71 nt
Filed under: Amorphoscelis hainana
Lineage: Eukaryota; Metazoa; Arthropoda; Insecta; Mantodea; Hymenopodidae
Description: tRNA-Asp
Source: RNAcentral
AAGAGAUUAGUUAAUUAAUAACAUUAGUAUGUCAUACUAAAAUUAUUAGAAGAUUAUCCUAAUAUUUCUUU